RNAcentral lists this ribosomal RNA (579 nucleotides) under uncultured archaeon. RNAcentral describes it as "partial 16S ribosomal RNA". The record is from RNAcentral.
GCGUNGACUCCAAUUGAACGCAGGCUUCACCCCUUGUGGUGCUCCCCCGCCAAUCCUUUAGUUCAUACUUGCGUACGUACUUCCCAGGCGGCAGACUUAACGGCUUCCCUGCGGCACUGCAUUGGCCACAAGCCAAUGCAUCACCGAGUCUGCAUCGUUUACAGCUGGGACUACCCGGGUAUCUAAUCCGGUUUGCUCCCCCAGCUUUCAUCCCUCACCGUCGAACGUGUUCUGGUACACCGCCUUCGCCACAGGUGGUCUUCAAUAGAUCAAAGGAUUUUACCCCUUCCUAUCGAGUACCGUGUACCUCUCCCACUCCCUAGCUGCACAGUAUUUUCGGCGGCCUAUACGUUAAGCGCAUAGAUUUAACCGAAAACUUAUGCAACCGGCUACGGAUGCUUUAGGCCCAAUAAACCUCCUGACCACUCGAGGUGCUGGUUUUACCGCGGCGGCUGACACCAGAACUUGCCCACCCCUUAUUCACCAGUGAUUCUACAACUGACAAAAGACUCCUUUAGCAGGAGACACUCGGAUUAACCUUGUCCUGCUUUCGCACAUUGCGAAGGUUUCUCGCCCUGU